AGAACGAACGCUGGCGGCAGGCCUAACACAUGCAAGUCGAGCGCUGUAGCAAUACAGAGCGGCGCACGGGAGAGUAAUACGUGGGAACCUACCCUUUGGUUCGGAAUAACGUCGGGAAACUGACGCUAAUACCGAAUAAGCCCUUCGGGGGAAAGAUUUAUUGCCGAAGGAUGGGCCCAUGUUGGAUUAGCUAGUUGGUGAGGUAACGGCUCACCAAGGCAACGAUCCAUAGCUGGUCUGAGAGGAUGAUCAGCCUCACUGGGACUGAGACACGGCCCAGACUCCUACGGGAGGCAGCAGUGGGGAAUAUUGGACAAUGGGGGCAACCCUGAUCCAGCCAUGCCGCGUGAGUGAUGAAGGCCUUCGGGUUGUAAAGCUCGUUUUGGCGGGGACGAUGAUGACGGUACCGCAGAAUAACGCCCGGCUAACUUCGUGCUAGCAGCCGC
This 446-nucleotide ribosomal RNA is filed under the name uncultured bacterium. Its description in RNAcentral is "SSU rRNA". It matches the Rfam family "Bacterial small subunit ribosomal RNA", at positions 26 to 518 of the family's 1533-position model. The record is from RNAcentral.